GACGAACGCUGGCGGCGUGCUUAACACAUGCAAGUCGAACGGAAAGGCCCUGCUUUUGUGGGGUGCUCGAGUGGCGAACGGGUGAGUAACACGUGAGUAACCUGCCCUUGACUUUGGGAUAACUUCAGGAAACUGGGGCUAAUACCGGAUAGGAGCUCCUGCUGCAUGGUGGGGGUUGGAAAGUUUCGGCGGUUGGGGAUGGACUCGCGGCUUAUCAGCUUGUUGGUGGGGUAGUGGCUUACCAAGGCUUUGACGGAUAGCCGGCCUGAGAGGGUGACCGGCCACAUUGGGACUGAGAUACGGACCAGACUCCUACGGGAGGCAGCAGUGGGGAAUAUUGCACAAUGGGCGGAAGCCUGAUGCAGCAACGCCGCGUGCGGGAUGACGGCCUUCGGGUUGUAAACCGCUUUCGCCUGUGACGAAGCGUGAGUGACGGUAAUGGGUAAGGAAGCACCGGCUAACUACGUG
Molecule: ribosomal RNA, 468 nt
Filed under: uncultured bacterium
Lineage: Bacteria
Description: partial 16S ribosomal RNA
Rfam family: Bacterial small subunit ribosomal RNA
Source: RNAcentral